AGGAUGAACGCUGGCGGCGUGCCUAAUACAUGCAAGUCGAGCGGUAACACUUCGGGUGACGAGCGGCGGACGGCUGAGUAACGCGUAGGAAUCUACCCCGAACUGAGGGAUAAGCACCAGAAAUGGUGUCUAAUACCGCAUACCGUCUACGGACGAAAGCUUCGGCGGUUUGGGAAGAGCCUGCGUCCGAUUAGCUAGUUGGUAAGGUAAAAGCUUACCAAGGCUACGAUCGGUAGCUGGUCUGAGAGGAUGACCAGCCAGACUGGGACUGAGAACGGCCCAGACUCCUACGGGAGGCAGCAGUAGGGAAUUUUCCACAAUGGGC
Molecule: ribosomal RNA, 325 nt
Filed under: uncultured bacterium
Lineage: Bacteria
Description: SSU rRNA
Rfam family: Bacterial small subunit ribosomal RNA
Source: RNAcentral